GGCAGCACUCAACUGGUGGCAAAACUACUACGAUACUUCAUUUUCACUCCCCCUUUCGACUCGUUUCCGCAAUCUCUCUCAGUGUGAGCCAUCUACGCGUUUCUCUUAUCUCUUCCUCGAGAAUGAGAUAGACCAUUGGAGAAACCCUAACACAAUAGCCUGAUACUCUUUCAUUUGCUAAGUUAUAUCAGCUUGAAUCAUGAAAUUAAUGGAGAAUUAGGAGUUGACUUCUAGGAUGAAAUUACGUGGAAAAAAUAAUUGGAGAAACAUGAGGAGUUUUAUCACCAUCAAUCAUGAUCUAGAAUCUCUGAGCUUCCUUGAACUUUUGAGACUCUGAUUCAGGUAACUGCCCACAUGGAAAGAGCAUGUGUCAAGAGAAAGCAAUUACUUUUGAAUAGCUGUGUGUGUUUUUGUCCUCUGCAUGAACUUAAUCCUAAAAGUUGACAUUUCACAAAAUCAUAUGCUAAGUUUACAAACAAAAACAUAACAAAGUUGUUUGCAGUUUCGCCUAGAUGAACUUGGUUUGAUUUGAAAGUGCUUGCCAGCAUAAUGCAUUGACUUCAUGACUGAGUUAUAUACAUUUUAUUUACAUAAUUGACUUAAAUUGUUUUUCACCUGAUAAGUAUAGAGAGCUUAUUUUCUAUUUAAAUUUUCUAUGAGGUAACUUUAGAGAUAAAAAUGUUAAUAAUUUAAAUUUGACUAUUCUCUAGAUACAGGAAAAAUGACAUACUAUAGAGUAAUGAUUAUAAACCUUCAUGAAAUUCAUUAAUUAAUUUUUGAAAAUAAUGUUUCUUGCUUAAUCCUCAAUCUACUAUUUAUCGGUGUGUAAUUUUCCAAUGUAAGAUUUCACAUUGUCACCAAUAGUCCAUUGAGUAUCUUAGUAUGAAGAUAUUUUCUAAAAUUAAAGAAUGUAAAGAAAGUUUUAAAUAAAAUUUCAUACAUUCUCGCCAAGCUUGUAUAAUCAUUAUUAAAUUGAAUGUGAUUUUUCAGUGUCUGUAUGGUAGCCAGAUUUAAAUUGUCGACAAUUUUAUCACUGGGGUUAUCUUGUAAGGAAAUUUCAAUAGAAGAUAAGCUCUCUAUAGUCAUUUAAGUAGAAAACCAUUAAUGUCAAUUAUGCAUUCAUGAAUGUACAUUCCAACUAUGAAGUGAGGGACAAGAAUAUUCAAAGUCGUCUAAGCUCAUCUAAACAAAACAUGAGACAACAAAAAUACUUUGUUAUUCUUUUGUUUACAUACUUCGCAUGUGAAUUUUAUUAGAUGUCAACUUUUAGGGUCAAGUUCAUAUCGAGGAACAAAUUCUAGUUCUAAGGCAAGUGCUAAUUAGCAUGUUUUGAGAGAAAGGUUAUAAUAUCAACUUCAUCAAAUUAUUGCAAGCCUUGAAAUAUGCAAAUAACUUCAUCAUAUUAGAGCUUUGAUAGAAAAUCUUCUAUCAAUUGUCGCUGAAGAAGCAGAGGUGGAGGAAUAUGGUAACUCCAUGCCUUCUAUUCAUUUUAUGAUACAUGUUUUGGUAGAGGUAGCUAGUUAGUAACAAAGGAUCGUGUAUCUGUGAUGUACUCCUUUAAUUGUAGCUGGCAUCAUAAAAUAAAUAAGUUGACAACUGUUUUAGACAAAUGUUGUAUGGAAAAUGACCUUGAUAUUGAUUAUCCUCUGAUUCUAGUUAUUGAUCUGGCUUACUUGUUCCAAA
Molecule: long non-coding RNA, 1683 nt
Organism: Cicer arietinum (chickpea)
Lineage: Eukaryota; Viridiplantae; Streptophyta; Magnoliopsida; Fabales; Fabaceae
Source: RefSeq, a predicted model, not a curated record